CCUACGGGUGGCAGCAGUGGGGAAUAUUGGACAAUGGGCGAAAGCCUGAUCCAGCCAUGCCGCGUGUGUGAAGAAGGCCUUCGGGUUGUAAAGCACUUUCAGUGGGGAAGAAAGCCUUGGGGCUAAUACCCUCGAGGAAGGACAUCACCCACAGAAGAAGCACCGGCUAACUCCGUGCCAGCAGCCGCGGUAAUCGGAGGGUGCGAGCGUUAAUCGGAAUUACUGGGCGUAAAGCACGCGUAGGCGGUCUGAUAAGCCGGUUGUGAAAGCCCCGGGCUCAACCUGGGAACGGCAUCCGGAACUGUCAGGCUAGAGUGCAGGAGAGGAAGGUAGAAUUCCCGGUGUAGCGGUGAAAUGCGUAGAGAUCGGGAGGAAUACCAGUGGCGAAGGCGGCCUUCUGGACUGACACUGACGCUGAGGUGCGAAAGCGUGGGUAGCAAACAGGAUUAGAUACCCGUGUAGUC
RNAcentral lists this ribosomal RNA (464 nucleotides) under Vreelandella stevensii. Its description in RNAcentral is "partial 16S ribosomal RNA". It matches the Rfam family "Bacterial small subunit ribosomal RNA", at positions 338 to 795 of the family's 1533-position model. The record is from RNAcentral. Lineage: Bacteria; Pseudomonadati; Pseudomonadota; Gammaproteobacteria; Oceanospirillales; Halomonadaceae.